GGGGAAUUGUUCGCAAUGGGCGCAAGCCUGACGACGCAACGCCGCGUGGAGGAUGAAGGUCUUCGGAUUGUAAACUCCUGUUGAUCGGGACGAACAUCCAUCGGGAUAACACCCCGGAGGACUGACGGUACCGGUUGAGGAAGCCCCGGCUAACUCUGUGCCAGCAGCCGCGGUAAUACAGAGGGGGCAAGCGUUGUUCGGAAUUACUGGGCGUAAAGGGCGCGUAGGCGGCUUAUCAAGUCAGGCGUGAAAUUCCCGGGCUCAACCUGGGGGCUGCGCUUGAUACUGAUUGGCUUGAAUGCGGGAGAGGAUAGUGGAAUUCCCAGUGUAGAGGUGAAAUUCGUAGAUAUUGGGAAGAACACCGGUGGCGAAGGCGGCUAUCUGGCCCGUAAUUGACGCUGAGGCGCGAAAGCGUGGGGAGCAAA
Molecule: ribosomal RNA, 425 nt
Filed under: uncultured bacterium
Lineage: Bacteria
Description: bacterial SSU rRNA
Rfam family: Bacterial small subunit ribosomal RNA
Source: RNAcentral